This 120-nucleotide ribosomal RNA is filed under the name Bos taurus (domestic cattle). The record is from RNAcentral. Lineage: Eukaryota; Metazoa; Chordata; Mammalia; Artiodactyla; Bovidae.
GGCUCCAGCCCUAUCAGCCUGAAGGCGCCCGAUCUCGUCUGAUCUCGGAAGCUAAGCAGGGUCGGGCCUGGUUAGGAUCUUGGAUGGGAGACCACCUGGGAAUCCCGGGUGCUCGAGGCU